GAGCCGCAGAUUGCGGUAAAGAACCCAGGCUUGCGAGGCUGCACCCCGAGCGAGACGAACAACGCUGCGCUUGGGUUCAGCCGUCCCGGCUCCCUGUGUUCCGCGCGACCGUUAUCUUAUGUGAAUGCGAACUUCCAUCCAAUUUCAUAAGAUGAGAACAUUCCCCAGGAGUUCUGAGUGCGUGUCUUCGGGACAUGUGGGCCGUUUGACGCUUAGCUCUGCGUUGUCCGCGGCGGGCCGAGACCCACGCGCGGAUCCAUGCGGUCCGACAGGAAGAGACACCCCGGCUGGAGCGGAGCGGAAACCCAUCGCUACAGAAGCGACGCUGGAGCACAAGGUUUACGAACCGUCAUGGGAUUUCUGGGGCAGUUCUCCUCGGCCCCGUGCUGUCCAGCCAUGAGGGGACACAUGGCAUAGCAGCAGACAGACAUCUCUGCCAAGGCUCCAAUUACAGAGACAUUAGCAGGCAGCAAGCAGUGGCUAAUUUGACAAGCUGAAAUGAUGCCCAUUCAUAUCCUUCUGCUUGAACAGCCCAGGGUAAAUAUUUCCCCAACUGCAGCACAAAUAGAGGGACACUAUUUGAACAGCUGAGACACGAGAUUGAGAGGCAAAUACUCCAGAGAUGAGAGACGUGGAGAUCAGAGAUCGCGCUGCGCUGCGUACUUCCGCUUUCAUAUAUUUGCGAAGGGCCUGUCGCCAAACGGUAUCGAUACAUUUUGUUCGCCGGCACAUCGAUGCAAAUUAUACACAGAGUCACCAGUUCAGAGUUCUCAAACACAUUGGAUUAGGUAUUUAAUUUUUGGAACGUAUUGUAACGACCCGUGUUACGGAGAGUUUAGGCGGGAAAAUGGGUCUAUUGUAAACGGUUGGAUUGUGGGUAAAAUGUGAAUAAAGUGUUCAACCGCUGGGGGGACUUACA
This 919-nucleotide long non-coding RNA is filed under the name Scleropages formosus (Asian bonytongue). RNAcentral's name for it is "lncRNA (ENSSFOG00015033305.1)". Lineage: Eukaryota; Metazoa; Chordata; Actinopteri; Osteoglossiformes; Osteoglossidae. The record is from RNAcentral.